Molecule: ribosomal RNA, 2371 nt
Filed under: metagenome
Description: bacterial LSU rRNA
Rfam family: Bacterial large subunit ribosomal RNA
Source: RNAcentral
CUAAAUACUACCCAGUGACCGAUAGCGUAUAGUACUGUGAAGGAAAGGUGAAAAGCACCCCGGGAGGGGAGUGAAAAAGAACCUGAAACCCUGUGCCUACAAGCACCUAGAGCACGUCAAUGUGUGAUAGGGUACUUUUUGUAGAACGGUCCGGCGAGCGAUUGUAUGCAGCAAGGUUAAGGACUUAAGGUCUGGAGCCGAAGCGAAAGCGAGUUUGAAAAGGGCGUUAAGUUGCAUACAAUGGGCCCGAAACCGGGUGACCUACCCAUGGUCAGGUUGAAGUGGAAGUAAAAUUCCAUGGAGGACCGAACCGACCUCCGUUGAAAAGGCGGCGGAUGAACUGUGGGUAGCGGAGAAAUUCCAAUCGAACCCGGAGAUAGCUGGUUCUCCCCGAAAUAGUUUUAGGACUAGCCUCAAGUUAGAUACCUGGAGGUAAAGCACUGAAUAGCCUAGCGGCCGAGAGGUUAGCGAAGCUUAUCAAACUCAGAAUGCCAGAGUAUUGAUGCUUGGGAGUCAGACAGUGUCAGAUAAAUGUCAUUGUCAAAAGGGAAACAGCCCAGAUCUACAGCUAAGGUCCCAAAGUCAGGUUAAGUGGAAAACGAUGUGAAGAUACGUAGACAACCAGGAUGUUGGCUCAGAAGCAGCCACACAUUCAAAGAGUGCGUAAUAGCUCACUGGUCGAGCGUCUUUGCGCGGAGAAUUUAACGGGGCUAAACCUGACACCGAAGCUUAGGCAAUACAGCAAUGUAUUGGGUAGGGGAGCGUUGUAUACGCGGUGAAACAGUAGCGCAAGCGGCUGUGGAGUGUAUAGAAGUGAGAAUGCCGGAAUGAGUAGCGCGAAUGCAGUGAGAAUCUGCAUGGCCGAAAGCCUCAGGUUUCUGGAGGAAGGUUCGUCCGCUCCAGGUUAGUCGGGAGCUAAGGUGAGGCCUAACGGCGUAGCCGAUGCACAGACGGUAGAGAUUCCGUCACCACCAAAAGAGUUAAGCACAGGGACACAUUUGAAGUCUCGGAGCCGGGUGUUGGUUCCGGUAGCGAUCGAGGGAAGUUAGUACCGAAGUCCGGGAUGGAAGAUGGCGAGAAAAGCUGUGUGUAUUUCUGCGGUGCCCGUACCGCAAACCGACACAGGUAGGUAGGAAGAAGAUUCUAAGGCCAACGGGAGAAGGGUUGUUAAGGAACUCGGCAAAUUGACCCCGUAACUUCGGGAGAAGGGGUGCUCCAGAGAUGGAGCCGCAGAGAAUCGGCCCAAGCAACUGUUUACCAAAAACACAGGUUUGUGCUAAAUCGAAAGAUGACGUAUACGAGCUGACGCCUGCCCGGUGCUGGAAGGUUAAGAGGAGAUGUGCAAGCAUUGAAUCGAAGCCCCAGUGAACGGCGGCCGUAACUAUAACGGUCCUAAGGUAGCGAAAUUCCUUGUCAGGUAAGUUCUGACCCGCAUGAAAGGCGUAAUGAUUUGGGCACUGUCUCAACAGCCCGCCCGGCGAAAUUGUAGUACCGGUGAAGAUGCCGGUUACCCGCGACAAGACGGAAAGACCCCAUGGAGCUUUACUGUAGCCUAAUAUUGGGUUUCGAUGUUGCAUGCACAGGAUAGAUGGGACACAGGGAAACAAGUGCUUUGGCAUUUGUGGAGUGGCCGUUGGGAUACCAUCCUUGCGAUAUUGGAAUUCUAACCUGCGCCUUUGAAUCAAGGCGGGGGACAUUGUUAGGUGGGCAGUUUGACUGGGGCGGUCGCCUCCUAAAGAGUAACGGAGGCGUUCAAAGGUUCGCUCAGCUUGAACGGAAAUCAAGCAAAAGAGUGCAAACGCAGAAGCGAGCCUAACUGCGAGACUGACGGGUCGAGCAGUAACGAAAGUUGGAGUUAGUGAUCCGGUGGUAUGUGAGUGGAAAUGCCAUCGCUCAACGGAUAAAAGUUACCCUGGGGAUAACAGGCUGAUCUCCCCCAAGAGUCCACAUCGACGGGGAGGUUUGGCACCUCGAUGUCGGCUCAUCGCAUCCUGGGGCUGUAUUCGGUCCCAAGGGUUUGGCUGUUCGCCAAUUAAAGCGGUACGCGAGCUGGGUUCAGAACGUCGUGAGACAGUUCGGUCCCUAUCUGUCGUGGGCGCAGGAUAUUUGAUGGGAGCUGUUCCUAGUACGAGAGGACCGGAGCGGACGUACCUCUGGCGCACCAGUUGUUCUGCCAAGGGCAUAGCUGGGCAACUAUGUACGGAUCGGAUAAACGCUGAAAGCAUCUAAGCGUGAAGCCGACCCAAAGAUAAGAUAUCCCAUUGUUUCAAACAAGUAAGACCCCUUGAAGACUACAAGGUUGAUAGGCACGAUGUGUAAGUGGAGUGAUCCAUUCAGCAAGCGUGUACUAAUAGGUCGAGGGCUUGACCAC